CACCGGCGGCCCGAGUGGUGAUCGUGAUUAUUGGGUCUAAAGGGUCCGUAGCCGGUUUGGUCAGUCCUCCGGGAAAUCUGAUAGCUCAACUAUUAGGCUUUCGGGGGAUACUGCCAGACUUGGAACCGGGAGAGGUAAGAGGUACUACAGGGGUAGGAGUGAAAUCUUGUAAUCCCUGUGGGACCACCUGUGGCGAAGGCGUCUUACCAGAACGGGUUCGACGGUGAGGGACGAAAGCUGGGGGCACGAA
This 250-nucleotide ribosomal RNA is filed under the name uncultured archaeon. RNAcentral describes it as "partial 16S ribosomal RNA". It matches the Rfam family "Archaeal small subunit ribosomal RNA", at positions 474 to 723 of the family's 1478-position model. RNAcentral also lists the same sequence under 1 other name. The record is from RNAcentral.